RNAcentral lists this ribosomal RNA (469 nucleotides) under unidentified nematode Sourhope farm. RNAcentral's name for it is "SSU rRNA". It matches the Rfam family "Eukaryotic small subunit ribosomal RNA", at positions 58 to 529 of the family's 1831-position model. The record is from RNAcentral. Lineage: Eukaryota; Metazoa; Nematoda.
UAUAAGUAUAAACGAUUUAAUCGUGAAACCGCGAACGGCUCAUUAUAACAGCUAUAAUUUACUUGAUCUUGACUUCCUACUUGGAUAACUGUGGUAAUUCUAGAGCUAAUACAUGCACCAAAGCUCCGACCUUACGGGAAGAGCGCAUUUAUUCGAACAAAACCAAGCGGCUUCGGCCGUCCGCAGUUGACUCAGAAUAACUAAGCUGAUCGCAUGGUCUUGUACCGGCGACGUGUCUUUCAAGUAUCUGCCUUAUCAACUUUCGAUGGUAGUGUAUCUGACUACCAUGGUGGUGACGGGUAACGGAGGAUAAGGGUUCGACUCCGGAGAAGGGGCCUGAGAAAUGGCCACUACGUCUAAGGAUGGCAGCAGGCGCGCAAAUUACCCACUCUCAGAAUGAGGAGGUAGUGACGAGAAAUAACGAGACCGUUCUCUACGAGGCCGGUCAUCGGAAUGGGUACAAUUUAAA